CAGUCGCCGCGGUAAUACGUAGGUGGCAAGCGUUGUCCGGAAUUAUUGGGCGUAAAGGGCUCGCAGGCGGUUUCUUAAGUCUGAUGUGAAAGCCCCCGGCUCAACCGGGGAGGGUCAUUGGAAACUGGGAAACUUGAGCGCAGAAGAGGAGAGUGGAAUUCCACGUGUAGUGGUGAAAUGCGUAGAGAUGUGGAGGAACACCAGUGGCGAAGGCGACUCUCUGGUCUGUAACUGACGCUGAGGAGCGAAAGCGUGGGGAGCGAACAGGAUUAGAUACCCCCGUAGUCCCUGUCUCUUAUAC
Molecule: ribosomal RNA, 301 nt
Filed under: uncultured bacterium
Lineage: Bacteria
Description: partial 16S ribosomal RNA
Rfam family: Bacterial small subunit ribosomal RNA
Source: RNAcentral